UACGGAGGGUGCAAGCGUUGUUCGGAAUCACUGGGCGUAAAGCGCAUGUAGGCGGGUUGGUGUGUCGGGUGUGAAAUACCGGAGCUCAACUCCGGGACUGCGCCCGAAACUGCCAGCCUUGAGUUCGGGAGAGGAACGUGGAAUUCCGGGUGUAGAGGUGAAAUUCGUAGAUAUCCGGAGGAACCCCAGAGGCGAAGGCGACGUUCUGGACCGAUACUGACGCUGAGAUGCGAAAGCGUGGGGAGCAAACAGAAUUAGAUACUCUGGUAGUCCACGCUGUCAACGGUGGGUACUAGGUGUCGGGGGUGUCUGACCCCUCCGGUGCCGGCGCUAACGCAAUAAGUACCCCGCCUGGGGAGUACGGCCGCAAGGUUAAA
RNAcentral lists this ribosomal RNA (377 nucleotides) under uncultured bacterium. RNAcentral's name for it is "bacterial SSU rRNA". It matches the Rfam family "Bacterial small subunit ribosomal RNA", at positions 524 to 898 of the family's 1533-position model. The record is from RNAcentral.